UCCCUAGAGGACUAGUGGUUAGGCCUCGGCGCUCUCACUGCUAUGGUCCAGGUUCAAUUCCCGGCCAGAGAA
Molecule: non-coding RNA, 72 nt
Organism: Pangasianodon gigas (Mekong giant catfish)
Lineage: Eukaryota; Metazoa; Chordata; Actinopteri; Siluriformes; Pangasiidae
Source: the annotation of a GenBank genome assembly